Long non-coding RNA from Oreochromis aureus, 618 nucleotides. RefSeq lists it as uncharacterized. The record is from RefSeq and is a predicted model, not a curated record. The transcript has 3 exons. Lineage: Eukaryota; Metazoa; Chordata; Actinopteri; Cichliformes; Cichlidae.
AACGGAAAUAGGAAAAGACACAACGGAAAUAGGAAAAGACACAACGGAAACAGGAAACGACACAACGGAAAUGUUCCUGGGGAGACAAUAAACCGACGGACCAGUUGCACGAACCAAAACAUGCUAGCCAGUGCGCUGGGACUGCGAGACACUUCAAAGAAGUGGAGGAGAGGCAAUGUAUUGUCCAUAUUGUGGAAUCCAGCUAGUGGGGCAAAUUGGAGUUUUUUGUGGGUCCUGUGGAACUAACAUUCAAGUUUUAGCACCUUUUAUAGAGAAUGGCCCAGUCUCAGUCACAGACAUCAUCAAUAAGUAUUUCUCUGAGGGCCAUACAUAUGAAGUGCUCCUGGACUUUCUUGAAAACAAGCAUAAUAUUUGUAUGAGUCUGAGAACAUUAAAGAGGAGGCUAAAAGAUGCUGGAAUGACUAGAAGGACUGACUUUACUCCCACUGACAUUGUCAUUUCCACUGUUACACAAGAACUGAGAGGCUCAGGUCAGCUUCUGGGUUACAGAUCCAUGUGUCAGACACUGCGACAAAAGUAUAAUCUAACAGUUAAAAGAAAUGAUGUAAUGCACAUACUCUCAAGACUAGAUCCAUAUGGUGUUAAGCGUCGCUGUAA